UUCAUCAGUGAUUCGGGCAGGUGGUUUGUUUUCCUAACCUCGAUAUAACCCAAGACUGGGAGGCACAGAACAGAUAAGGAUACAGAGAAAAGGCGAUAACAAUCAAGAUUCAAAAAUGAAAUACAUAUGUGUGUAUAUGUGUAUUUGGAAUAAUGAGAUAAAUGCCUUCAAAAGCCUUUAUGAAGCACUUACUAUUGGCCAGAUUCUCUUUUAAUCUUUGGGAGUCAAUUAUAUUGAUAUAUAAAGUGAAUGAAACAUUUCUGCCUCUGUGGCCCUCUCGUGAAAUUUGAACUGAGGUGUCUUGGUAAGCAGGCAGAGGAAAUCUGCUUCAGGUUGCCUCCAGAAUUCUCUGAUGGUGAUAUAGCUUCUGUUUCUGUGUCAGCUGAUCUUCAUCCAAAUGGUGUCAGUGAACCUUCCCCUCUCUGGUUUGUGGAUUCCCCUCAUGAAUCUAUCUUCUUAACACACAAUGCUUACUUC
Molecule: non-coding RNA, 477 nt
Organism: Phascolarctos cinereus (koala)
Lineage: Eukaryota; Metazoa; Chordata; Mammalia; Diprotodontia; Phascolarctidae
Source: RefSeq, a predicted model, not a curated record